CACCAGGGGAGGAUUGGCCAUAGACCCUACAGGGAAAUUUCCCAGUGGGCCGAUGCCAAGGGGGCCACUCAAGCCCUCUUGAUGGCCACAGGCCAGGUACACAUUGAUCUGAUGCUCAACAGCCACAGAUGCCCUCCUGAACUCGACUGUGAUACAGUUGAAUACUGUGGCUGGGGCUGCAGUAUUUUAUGCUGCCCUGUGGUAUUUGGUUCUGCUGGGGUGGUAUUCUGUG
Bufo bufo (common toad) is the source of this 232-nucleotide long non-coding RNA. RefSeq lists it as uncharacterized. The transcript has 3 exons. The record is from RefSeq and is a predicted model, not a curated record. NCBI's taxonomy places the organism in Eukaryota, Metazoa, Chordata, Amphibia, Anura, Bufonidae.